UGCAAGUCGAACGAGAUUAAGGGGCUUGCUCCUUAUGAAAGUGGCGCACGGGUGCGUAACGCGUAUGCAACCUACCUUAAUCAGGGGGAUAGCCCGAAGAAAUUCGGAUUAAGACCGCAUAAAAACACAGGAUAGCAUUAUCCAAUGUUCAAAUAUUUAUAGGAUUAAGAUGGGCAUGCGUGUCAUUAGCUAGUUGGCGGGGUAACGGCCCACCAAGGCGACGAUGACUAGGGGAUCUGAGAGGAUGACCCCCCACACUGGUACUGAGACACGGACCAGACUCCCACGGGAGGCAGCAGUAAGGAAUAUUGGUCAAUGGAGGGAACUCUGAACCAGCCAUGCCGCGUGCAGGAAGACAGCCCUCUGGGUCGUAAACUGCUUUUAUUCGGGAAUAAACCUUAUUACGUGUAAUAAGCUGAAUGUACCGAAGGAAUAAGGAUCGGCUAACUCCGUGCCAGCAGCCGCGGUAAUACGGAGGAUCCAAGCGUUAUCCGGAUUUAUUGGGUUUAAAGGGUGCGUAGGCGGCUUAUUAAGUCAGGGGUGAAAGACGGUGGCUCAACCAUCGCAGUGCCCUUGAUACUGAUGAGCUUGAAUACACUAGAGGUAGGCGGAAUGUGACAAGUAGCGGUGAAAUGCAUAGAUAUGUCACAGAACACCGAUUGCGAAGGCAGCUUACUAUGGUGUUAUUGACGCUGAGGCACGAAAGCGUGGGGAUCAAACAGGAUUAGAUACCCUGGUAGUCCACGCCCUAAACGAUGAAUACUCGCUGUUAGCGAUAUACAGUUAGCGGCUAAGCGAAAGCGUUAAGUAUUCCACCUGGGGA
Molecule: ribosomal RNA, 823 nt
Filed under: uncultured bacterium
Lineage: Bacteria
Description: bacterial SSU rRNA
Rfam family: Bacterial small subunit ribosomal RNA
Source: RNAcentral